ACGUCGUAACAGGUUUCCGUAGGUGAACCUGCGGAAGGAUCAUUA
RNAcentral lists this ribosomal RNA (45 nucleotides) under uncultured fungus. Its description in RNAcentral is "partial 18S ribosomal RNA". Lineage: Eukaryota; Fungi. The record is from RNAcentral.